UUAAAAUGCUUUGUAUAUAUAGGAAAUUAUGUCGGGAACAGGAUCUAUUGUCCUAAAUUCAAUUGGAACAUUAAUAGUUCUUUACUUGUAACAUGAGGGUGUUUGUUGUGACGUUGGUCCUUUUAUUUGUCCUGGUUGAAACCUUUGGAGUCCCUAUUGCUAAGUCGGAUCAAGCAUCUUCCAGCCUCAUGAAGAAUUUUUCUGAUUAUAUUAAAGAGUGUUUUGGAAUAACUAUACAAAUACAAACCACAGCUGCUACGACGACCACAACAGCUGGAAGUUAAUGCCCACAGGAUAACAGCAUAUAUUGUAAUUUACUUUUGUCUUGUAUUAAUAAAACUAUAUUUUGGAAUGA
This is a long non-coding RNA of Aethina tumida (small hive beetle), 355 nucleotides long. RefSeq lists it as uncharacterized. Lineage: Eukaryota; Metazoa; Arthropoda; Insecta; Coleoptera; Nitidulidae. The transcript has 3 exons. The record is from RefSeq and is a predicted model, not a curated record.